CACGUAGUUAGCCGUGGCUUUCUUGAAUGGUACAGUCAAUCUCUAAUCGUUUCCUAUUAGGGCCGUUCUUCCCAAACAACAGAACUUUACAAUCCAGAGGACCGUCAUCGUUCACGCGGCAUUGCUCGUUCAGGGUUUCCCCCAUUGACGAAUAUUCCUAACUGCUGUCUCCCGUAGGAGUCUGGGCCGUGUCUCAGUCCCAGUGUGGCCGAUCAACCUCUCAGUUCAGCUAUGCAUCGUUGACUUGGUAGGCUCUUACCCCACCAACUAUCUAAUGCACCGCAGGCCCAUCUCUUAGCGAAGCUUUAAAGGCUACCCUUUAAUCCGUAGAUCACAUUCGGUAUUAACAAUCGUUUACCAAUUGGUAUCCCCUAUCUAAGGAGGUACGGUAACCCACGUGUUACCUCUACCCGUUU
RNAcentral lists this ribosomal RNA (416 nucleotides) under uncultured bacterium. RNAcentral's name for it is "partial 16S ribosomal RNA". The record is from RNAcentral.